This 497-nucleotide ribosomal RNA is filed under the name uncultured bacterium. RNAcentral describes it as "partial 16S ribosomal RNA". It matches the Rfam family "Bacterial small subunit ribosomal RNA", at positions 28 to 507 of the family's 1533-position model. The record is from RNAcentral.
GAUGAACGCUGGCGGCGUGCCUAAUACAUGCAAGUCGAGCGAACAGACGAUGAGCUCGCUCCUCUGACGUUAGCGGCGGACGGGUGAGUAACACGUGGAUAACCUACCUAUAAGACUGGGAUAACUUCGGGAAACCGGAGCUAAUACUGGAUAAUAUAUUCAACCGCAUGGUUCAAUAGUGAAAGACGGCUUUGCUGUCACUUAUAGAUGGAUCCGCGCCGCAUUAGCUAGUUGGUAAGGUAACGGCUUACCAAGGCGACGAUGCGUAGCCGACCUGAGAGGGUGAUCGGCCACACUGGAACUGAGACACGGUCCAGACUCCUACGGGAGGCAGCAGUAGGGAAUCUUCCGCAAUGGGCGAAAGCCUGACGGAGCAACGCCGCGUGAGUGAUGAAGGUCUUCGGAUCGUAAAACUCUGUUAUUAGGGAAGAACAAAUGUGUAAGUAACUAUGCACGUCUUGACGGUACCUAAUCAGAAAGCCACGGCUAACUACGUG